CGCAGCCGCGGUAAUUCCAGCUCCAAUAGCGUAUAUUAAAGUUGUUGCAGUUAAAAAGCUCGUAGUUGAAUUUCGGGAUUGGCGCAUCGGUCGUGCCUUACGGGGUAUGAACUGGUGCAGUCAAUUUCUCACCUUCUGGAGAACCGCGAUGUCCUUAAUUGGGUGCCGCGGGGAACCAGGAACCUUUACUUUGAAAAAAUU
This 201-nucleotide unclassified non-coding RNA is filed under the name uncultured Glomus. Its description in RNAcentral is "sequence contains 18S rRNA gene". It matches the Rfam family "Eukaryotic small subunit ribosomal RNA", at positions 569 to 767 of the family's 1831-position model. The record is from RNAcentral. Lineage: Eukaryota; Fungi; Glomeromycota; Glomeromycetes; Glomerales; Glomeraceae.